AUUAAUAAGCGGAGGAAAAGAAACUAACGAGGAUUCCCUUAGUAACGGCGAGUGAAGCGGGAUGAGCCCAGCACCGAAUCCCCCGCCUGACGGCGGCGGGAAAUGUGGUGUUCAGGACAACCUUCGGGGAUCGGUCGGGAGUCCGAGUCCUCCUGAUCGGGGCUUGACCCAGAGCGGGUGUCAGGCCUCUACGGCGUCCGGCCGGUCCUCCGUGGGCGUCCUAGGAGUCGGGUUGUUUGAGAUUGCAGCCCAAAGUGGGUGGUAAACUCCAUCUAAGGCUAAAUACUGACACGAGUCCGAUAGCGAACAAGUACCGUGAGGGAAAGUU
RNAcentral lists this ribosomal RNA (328 nucleotides) under Propappus volki. RNAcentral describes it as "eukaryotic LSU rRNA". It matches the Rfam family "Eukaryotic large subunit ribosomal RNA", at positions 42 to 365 of the family's 3401-position model. Lineage: Eukaryota; Metazoa; Annelida; Clitellata; Enchytraeida; Propappidae. The record is from RNAcentral.